UGUAACGGAUUGCCUGGCACCCCGACUGGGUACCUCCGUUGAAGGAUGCUCCUAGCGCUUCCUGAGGACUCCAAGCACUCUGGCAGACACCACAACCACCGAAUCGGAGAAGCAUAUGAAUGCUCUCAAGCAUAUGAAUGCUGUAGACAGUUGAAUAGGAACCAUACAAAUAGGUUUACUCUCCUAGCAGUCAAACUGGAACAGCAUACAAUAAAUCCUUCCCCCAAU
Molecule: long non-coding RNA, 228 nt
Filed under: Pelobates cultripes (western spadefoot toad)
Lineage: Eukaryota; Metazoa; Chordata; Amphibia; Anura; Pelobatidae
Source: RNAcentral